UGCAGCGCGCCGUGACUGGCGCACGGCUCUUAAAGCGCCGCGAGCUCCUCCCCGAUUGGCCCAGCCGGCACGCGGUGCUGCGCUACUGCGGCGAACGCGGGCGCGGCCCCCGGGGGCGCGGCCUCUGAGGCCGCAGCCUCUGAGGCCGCAGCCGGGCCCGGAGGCGCCGCGCUCCCCCGCGGGCAGGGGCCACGCGCCUCGUCCCGGGGCCCGCUCGGGGCCUGCUGCAGGUGCCUUGCCGGCUCGGGGGGCUCCUGCCGGCCUGCCCGAACCCGCGCUGCCCGCAGGCGCGAAGCGCGGCGCCGUCGCUACCUGGCCAGCGGCUGCCGUGAGCUGUCCCGGGCCGGAGGGCGGCGGGGCUCCCGGUCCCCGGCCAGGCGCAGCAGCGCGCCGUCGUGCAGCUGCCGAGCUCAGGAGUCGAACCAAAUGGAGUAGCUGUGCAGCUGUACUGGUGUUACAUUUCAUCAGCCCUAGUGUGUGUGCACUGCAUCAGCACCACGGCAGUAAUAGGCACCCCUGUGAAGCAUCACAAGCUGACUGGGGCUGA
RNAcentral lists this long non-coding RNA (547 nucleotides) under Anser cygnoides (Swan goose). RNAcentral's name for it is "lncRNA (ENSACDG00005012011.1)". Lineage: Eukaryota; Metazoa; Chordata; Aves; Anseriformes; Anatidae. The record is from RNAcentral.